GACGAACGCUGGCGGCGUGCCUAAUACAUGCAAGUAGAACGCUGAAGGAAGGAGCUUGCUCUUUCUGGAUGAGUUGCGAACGGGUGAGUAACGCGUAGGUAACCUGCCUGGUAGCGGGGGAUAACUAUUGGAAACGAUAGCUAAUACCGCAUAAAAUUGAUUAUUGCAUGAUAGUCAAUUAAAAGGUGCAACUGCACCACUACCAGAUGGACCUGCGUCGUAUUAGCUAGUUGGUGGGGUAACGGCUCACCAAGGCGACGAUACAUAGCCGACCUGAGAGGGUGAUCGGCCACACUGGGACUGAGACACGGCCCAGACUCCUACGGGAGGCAGCAGUAGGGAAUCUUCGGCAAUGGACGGAAGUCAGACCGAGCAACGCCGCGUGAGUGAAGAAGGUUUUCGGAUCGUAAAGCUCUGUUGUAAGAGAAGAACGAGUGUGAGAGUGGAAAGUUCACACUGUGACGGUAGCUUACCAGAAAGGGACGGCUAACUACGUG
This 497-nucleotide ribosomal RNA is filed under the name uncultured bacterium. RNAcentral describes it as "partial 16S ribosomal RNA". It matches the Rfam family "Bacterial small subunit ribosomal RNA", at positions 28 to 507 of the family's 1533-position model. The record is from RNAcentral.